This 746-nucleotide ribosomal RNA is filed under the name uncultured bacterium. RNAcentral's name for it is "bacterial SSU rRNA". It matches the Rfam family "Bacterial small subunit ribosomal RNA", at positions 47 to 808 of the family's 1533-position model. The record is from RNAcentral.
CCUUAUGCAUGCAAGUCGAACGGGGUUGCAGUUUUCGGAUUGCAACCUAGUGGCGAACGGCUGAGUAACACGUAAGCAACCUACCUUGGAGUGGGAAAUAACCUGUCGAAAGAUAGGCUAAUGUCCCAUGUGGUAACGAAGCAUAAGCUUGGUUACUAAAGCCUUCGGGCGCUCCUUGAGGGGCUUGCGUCCGAUUAGCUAGUUGGUGGGGUAAUGGCCUACCAAGGCUAUUACGGGUAGCUGGUCUGAGAGGAUGAUCAGCCACACUGGGACUGAGACACGGCCCAGACUCCUACGGGAGGCAGCAGUGGGGAAUUUUCCGCAAUGGGCGAAAGCCUGACGGAGCAACGCCGCGUGAGGGACGAAGGCCUCUGGGCUGUAAACCUCUUUUCUCAAGGAAGAAAAUCUGACGGUACUUGAGGAAUAAGCCACGGCUAAUUCCGUGCCAGCAGCCGCGGUAAUACGGGAGUGGCAAGCGUUAUCCGGAAUUAUUGGGCGUAAAGCGUCCGCAGGCGGCCUUGUAAGUCUGCUGUCAAAGAGUGGAGCUCAACUCCAUAGAGGCAGUGGAAACUGUAAGGCUUGAGUGUGGUAGGGGCAGAGGGAAUUCCCGGUGUAGCGGUGAAAUGCGUAGAUAUCGGGAAGAACACCAGUGGCGAAGGCGCUCUGCUGGGCCAUAACUGACGCUCAUGGACGAAAGCCAGGGGAGCGAAAGGGAUUAGAUACCCCUGUAGUCCUGGCCGUAAACG